RNAcentral lists this transfer RNA (82 nucleotides) under Planococcaceae bacterium Storch 2/2-2. It matches the Rfam family "tRNA". Rfam says of the family: Transfer RNA (tRNA) molecules are approximately 80 nucleotides in length. Their secondary structure includes four short double-helical elements and three loops (D, anti-codon, and T loops). The record is from Rfam by way of RNAcentral. Lineage: Bacteria; Bacillati; Bacillota; Bacilli; Caryophanales; Caryophanaceae.
GCGGGUAUGGUGGAACUGGCAGACACGCUAGACUUAGGAUCUAGUGCCUUCGGGCGUGGGGGUUCGACUCCCUUUACCCGCA